RNAcentral lists this long non-coding RNA (1166 nucleotides) under Chrysemys picta bellii (western painted turtle). RNAcentral describes it as "lncRNA (ENSCPBG00000009056.1)". The record is from RNAcentral. Lineage: Eukaryota; Metazoa; Chordata; Testudines; Emydidae.
UCUUGUCCCCUAGAGGGAAAUGAGAGAGGCCUGGGAAAAUCUGGUAAUAACAGAACUCCCCUUUCAAAUACAAUCCCUGCUGCAGUCAGUUUGUUUGUUCCAGUCCAAGUCCCGAUGGACACAUUUCCACCUGGCUCAACAUAAAACUACACCACCACAACCGGCACCCCUGCUCACAGCCUCUUAGAGAAUCCAGCCACUGAAUGAGCUUACGGAUGGAACCAUCCUCUCUGUUCUAAACAGGUUAGUUCCUCUAGGUUGGGAUUGAUGUUUAUGGGCAGGGUGGUAUGAGGAAGCUUACGUUACCACUGCCUGCUGUAUAGCUAACAGAAGAUCCCAGUUACGAGGUCUGUGAAGACAGCACAAUUAACAGAUAUUCCUGUAAAUUCCCAAGAUCGUUUUUAAAGGGACAUGCAAGAUGCAUUAUUUGUAGAGGCAAUGACAGUAGACAUUUCUUUAAUCAGUAUUUAUGCCCACUAAUUCUUCUAAAUUUAGCACCUGUGUCCACUAAUCUCUAAGCCAUCUGGAAGGCAUCAGAUAUCAAAAGGAAAAGAAAAGUAAUUGCUCUGGCUCUGGGGAAUUAAGCAUUGAAUUUGUGGGGAAGAAGGAUUUAGUCAAUGGAUUUCUUUCAGGACACCUCAAAAUCUGGCUGCAACUGCUUAGUAAGCAAAUGCUGAAUCAAACAUCUGUGUGCCAUAUAAGCACAACUAAACCUGUACAAUUACUGCGCUCAUUCACUUGCAUAACAAGUCACAUGCCAAUUACCUCACUUAGCCUGUUUGGGAGGAGGAGGAUCCACUGAAAGAGAAUCUGCAGAGCAGCUGGAAGCAAUUUCUUUGUCUUCUCAUUACUUUCUUUUGAUCUUCUCUCUUCAUAUUUAGCUAUGUCGUCACUGCAAAUAAGGGGCGUGUUUACCAUGGGAUAACUAACUUGCAUUAGUUAUCACACUGUAAAAUCUCAGUGGAGAUAAGGCACACGUAGUUUUUAGCAUGAUGUAGCUGUGGGGGAGGGGUGGUCAACACCGUAUCUCCACCUGUGGUUGACCUCACCUAUUCAGUUCACUAUUAAAUCUACAGGUGCCUUGUCUCCAGUAGGAUUUUGCAGGGGGAUCAUUAAUGCACAUUUGUUCUCAGGGUAAAAACACAUGGCAAUGAAUACAAAGCCUU